AAAGGUAAUAUCUCUGAGAAACCUUUACCCCUUGGCGGCCUCUCUUCUUAUCAGAGGAAUUCGUCCUUUAAUCGAUAUUACCCGCUUAUUUUCUCUUCUUUUAAAAUCCUUUAUACCGCCGUCUAAAGAAUAAAAUAAAAAUUUUAUUUCAAACCAUUUUUACCAAGUCAGGUCAAGGUGAAGAACAUAAAGAAGAUAGGAUAAAUUACCCAUUUAAAUAAUUAUUGAAAUUUGUUCUAAAGAAACUUAAGAAACAGGAUUUGAAAGUAGUUUUUAAAUAAAAAUUUAAACCGAACAAGCACUUAGGUGUACACAUCGCCCGUCGCUCUUA
RNAcentral lists this ribosomal RNA (331 nucleotides) under Cyrtocarenum grajum. RNAcentral's name for it is "partial 12S ribosomal RNA". The record is from RNAcentral. Lineage: Eukaryota; Metazoa; Arthropoda; Arachnida; Araneae; Ctenizidae.